This 68-nucleotide transfer RNA is filed under the name Solemya velesiana. RNAcentral describes it as "tRNA-Trp". The record is from RNAcentral. Lineage: Eukaryota; Metazoa; Mollusca; Bivalvia; Solemyida; Solemyidae.
AAGAUUUUAAGUUAAUAAAACUAAAAGUUUUCAAAGCUUUAAAUAAGAAUUGAUUUUCUUAAAUCUUG